Molecule: ribosomal RNA, 506 nt
Filed under: uncultured bacterium
Lineage: Bacteria
Description: bacterial SSU rRNA
Rfam family: Bacterial small subunit ribosomal RNA
Source: RNAcentral
CGGGAGGCAGCAGUGAGGAAUAUUGGUCAAUGGGCGGUAGCCUGAACCAGCCAAGUAGCGUGAAGGAUGAAGGCUCUAUGGGUCGUAAACUUCUUUUAUAUAAGAAUAAAGUGCAGUAUGUAUACUGUUUUGUAUGUAUUAUAUGAAUAAGGAUCGGCUAACUCCGUGCCAGCAGCCGCGGUAAUACGGAGGAUCCGAGCGUUAUCCGGAUUUAUUGGGUUUAAAGGGAGCGUAGGUGGACUGGUAAGUCAGUUGUGAAAGUUUGCGGCUCAACCGUAAAAUUGCAGUUGAUACUGUCAGUCUUGAGUACAGUAGAGGUGGGCGGAAUUCGUGGUGUAGCGGUGAAAUGCUUAGAUAUCACGAAGAACUCCGAUUGCGAAGGCAGCUCACUGGACUGCAACUGACACUGAUGCUCGAAAGUGUGGGUAUCAAACAGGAUUAGAUACCCUGGUAGUCCACACAGUAAACGAUGAAUACUCGCUGUUUGCGAUAUACAGUAAGCGGCC